UCGAGGGGUACGGUAGCAAUACCGGAGACCGGCGCACGGGUGCGUAACGCGUAUGCAAUCUACCUUUUACAGAGGGAUAGCCCAGAGAAAUUUGGAUUAAUACCUCAUAGUAUCUUCGGCCGGCAUCGGUUGAUUAUUAAAGUUCCAACGGUAAAAGAUGAGCAUGCGUCCCAUUAGCUAGAUGGUAAGGUAACGGCUUACCAUGGCUACGAUGGGUAGGGGUCCUGAGAGGGAGAUCCCCCACACUGGUACUGAGACACGGACCAGACUCCUACGGGAGGCAGCAGUGAGGAAUAUUGGACAAUGGGCGCAAGCCUGAUCCAGCCAUGCCGCGUGCAGGAAGACGCAUCUAUGGUGUGUAAACUGCUUUUGUACGGGAAGAAACACCCCCUCGUGAGGGGGCUUGACGGUACCGUAAGAAUAAGGAUCGGCUAACUCCGUGCCAGCAGCCGCGGUAAUACGGAGGAUCCAAGCGUUAUCCGGAAUCAUUGGGUUUAAAGGGUCCGUAGGCGGUCAGGUAAGUCAGUGGUGAAAGCCCAUCGCUCAACGAUGGAACGGCCAUUGAUACUGUCUGACUUGAAUUAUUGUGAAGUAACUAGAAUAUGUAGUGUAGCGGUGAAAUGCUUAGAUAUUACAUGGAAUACCAAUUGCGAAGGCAGGUUACUAACAAUAUAUUGACGCUGAUGGACGAAGCGUGGGGAGCGAACAGG
Molecule: ribosomal RNA, 710 nt
Filed under: uncultured Bacteroidota bacterium
Lineage: Bacteria; Pseudomonadati; Bacteroidota
Description: bacterial SSU rRNA
Rfam family: Bacterial small subunit ribosomal RNA
Source: RNAcentral